AGCUCCAAUAGCGUAUAUUAAAGUUGCUGCAGUUAAAAAGCUCGUAGUUGCAUUUCCGAGGCAAGGGAUUAGUCCGACCUUUGGUGGGUAUUUCAUCCUCUUGCCUCUUCCUUGAGUGGUGCUUCUUGGUAUUAAGUUAUCGAGGAGAUAGCCGCUCAUCGUUUACUGUGAGAAAAUUAGAGUGUUCAAAGCAGGCUUAUGCCGUUGAAUAUAUUAGCAUGGAAUAAUAAGAUAGGACCUCGGUACUAUUUUGUUGGUUUGAGAACCAAGGUAAUGAUGAAUAGGGACAGUUGGGGGUAUUCGUAUUCAGUUGUCAGAGGUGAAAUUCUUAGAUUUACGGAAGACGAACUACUGCGAAAGCAUUUACCAAGGAUGUUUUCA
This 381-nucleotide ribosomal RNA is filed under the name uncultured marine Chaetocerotaceae. RNAcentral describes it as "SSU rRNA". It matches the Rfam family "Eukaryotic small subunit ribosomal RNA", at positions 587 to 972 of the family's 1831-position model. Lineage: Eukaryota; Bacillariophyta; Thalassiosirophyceae; Chaetocerotales; Chaetocerotaceae. The record is from RNAcentral.